This is a non-coding RNA of Leptonychotes weddellii (Weddell seal), 582 nucleotides long. Lineage: Eukaryota; Metazoa; Chordata; Mammalia; Carnivora; Phocidae. The record is from RefSeq and is a predicted model, not a curated record.
CACCAGGGCCCAGAGCGAGACAGACGUGGAGCUGGGAUUUGAAAGCACGCCUGUGCAGCCCGGCCCGGUAGGAAGAGCGGUGAUAGAAUUUAUUUUGAAAGCUGCCUCUGCUUCCUCUGUGGGAUGUGAAUCGAGCGUGCACACGGCUGAAGGUGGGAAACCAGGAGACUGCGGUGGUCGUGCAGGGGACAGAUGACCUGGCAGCGUCCUGUAGCAGAACGGCACACUGAAGAAAUCGUCCAGGGGGGGACCCCAGGAGUCUUGGCAACUGAUGGAUGAGACGUGAGCUGAUUUAGACACCAGUGGGAAGGAGCCAGUUGAGUGCAAGCAGGUGGAAUCCCAAUGGAAGGAGGGGACAGUGAAUGGACAGGUGUCGCGAGAAGUUUGGAGUCGAGUGGAGUGCCAGGAUCUGCCCCGGGCAGCUGAGACCAAGACUUCUCUUUUUCUCUGAAUGUGCCAGGCUAUGGGAAUGCUGACAGCUGCCCUCCGUGACGAAACCGGGCUGCUCUGUGCUGUCCUGUCUCUCUGUCUGCAGAGGGGAAGAAAAUGCAGCUACACAGGCUCUGAAUGCACAAGCUGGCU